AUGACAACCCCUGAACAAUCCUGUCAACAAAUAUGUCUUUUUCCUUCUCAAAGACAGACAACCUUCAUCCCAGAUUCCCCUAGCAGCAUAUGGAUCUCUCUUCUUUUGGUUUAUCAAGGACGAUUGGAUAAACUGGCUUGUUUGGACUGGGGUUCUUAUCUCCAUGGAGGCCUCAAUAAUAAUACUUAUGAAAAUAGAUGUAGACUUUUUUGUCCUUUUUAUGCUGCUGUAGUUUUCAGUGAAUAUCAGCAAUAUAAACAAUAUUACCUUUUAUUUGCCUGUUCUAAGGAUCAUUUUAGGCUUGUAUCAGUGGUGGUUCCUUCCACAAUGAUUCAGGUGGAGUCAGCUGUGAUGAAGCUGGCCUGGUGUCACUAGAAUCCUUGCUUGGACAGAUCUUGUGGUGAGUGAUUAAGGACUGACUGAUCUUUCUUUUAGGGCUUAGGCCUAAGUUGGUCAGGGCUGCUGCCCUGGGCCAGUCUAUCCUUUUCUCUAUUCUUUUUUUUUCUCUCUUUCUCUCCUUUUCUUUAAUUCCACAUUUUUAUUAAUUAAAAUAUCUAUAAAACCCAGUUGACUUGGGUAUAUUUCAUAAUUGGGAAUCUUUCCCUGGCGACCACCUUAUAUUUGAUUUAAAACAAGACACUGUCUUGAAAACAUAUCUUCCACAGCCACAAUUUAAGACAUCCACUCUUUUAUCUACUACAAUUUAAGUCUUCCACUAUUUUAAUUAUUACACUCCCUCUCUUCAUCCUUUCUAUUUCCCUCUACCCUCCUUAUUGCUUCUUAUUGCUCAUUUUUCUUCUUCCUUCUUUCUGUCUAGAGUUAGAACUAGCACACCAAGUUAUACCAGGACAACUAUAAGGAGAGUGCCCCUCAUUUCCUUCAUCCUCUCCCUGGGUUGGAGGGAACAGUGCUGCUUCCCAUUUCCUGUCCUUUGUCCUUUUUAGUACAAGCUGGUCCACAACCUCACCAUCCCUCCAAACCAUAAUACUUCAUGAUAGUCAGACUCCUCUCCUAGGAAAGUUUCCCAAAGUGAACAGAAGGCUGCACUUUUCUCCCCUUUACUUCAAGCAAACUACUAACCUCAGGAUUCAUGCCCAAAGACAGCCCAUUACUACUUCUUUGCACCCAUGUUUUCUCAUACAAGGGACAUUCUAGAAUGUCAGGAUUCAUGCUAUUGUCUUCAAUCUACCUCAGCAAUAGAGCCUGGAGUGGCUGUGCCCUAAAGCCCACCUUCAAGCAACAUAUGCCUUAUGUCCCCACCCCUUCCACCCCCAGUGACUUAGCCUCAGUUGCUAGAACUCUUUGUUGGGAUUCUAUUUCCUCUCUGCUGCUCCUUUCAGCCUUCCCAGAAAAUAUUCCUCCAGUGGCCUUGUCAGAACCAAGAUGUCUGGACAGAUCUUGGGAUGUAUCCUAAGUAAAUUAGUUCUCAUGUUUUUCCACAGGGAGAGUCUGUUUUUCCUUUAACCAUGGGUACAAUGAGACCAGCAUUGACAUGGAGCACCAAAUAUCCCUGGAGCCUGUUCUGAUGGAACCCUUCCUGCCUGAUCUAUUAGGAUCUACUGAGUCACAGACUUUAUUCUUUUUCACCUUUACUUAAUACUUGCAAUGAAGAGAGAGUGAGCACAAAGGAACUAGGUCUUUCAUUUAAUACCUGAGACUACAGAAUUAACAGAAGGUUCUUCAGGCUAUUACCCUUCUCUUUGUAAAUGAAUAUUACCCUUCUCUUUGUAAAUGAAUAAAAGUGUUGCUGUAUAAGUUCA
This is a long non-coding RNA of Monodelphis domestica (gray short-tailed opossum), 1760 nucleotides long. Lineage: Eukaryota; Metazoa; Chordata; Mammalia; Didelphimorphia; Didelphidae. The record is from Ensembl.